Molecule: ribosomal RNA, 657 nt
Filed under: uncultured Pantoea sp.
Lineage: Bacteria; Pseudomonadati; Pseudomonadota; Gammaproteobacteria; Enterobacterales; Erwiniaceae
Description: bacterial SSU rRNA
Rfam family: Bacterial small subunit ribosomal RNA
Source: RNAcentral
AUUGAACGCUGGCGGCAGGCCUAACACAUGCAAGUCGGACGGUAGCACAGAGGAGCUUGCUCCUUGGGUGACGAGUGGCGGACGGGUGAGUAAUGUCUGGGGAUCUGCCCGAUAGAGGGGGAUAACCACUGGAAACGGUGGCUAAUACCGCAUAACGUCGCAAGACCAAAGAGGGGGACCUUCGGGCCUCUCACUAUCGGAUGAACCCAGAUGGGAUUAGCUAGUAGGCGGGGUAAUGGCCCACCUAGGCGACGAUCCCUAGCUGGUCUGAGAGGAUGACCAGCCACACUGGAACUGAGACACGGUCCAGACUCCUACGGGAGGCAGCAGUGGGGAAUAUUGCACAAUGGGCGCAAGCCUGAUGCAGCCAUGCCGCGUGUAUGAAGAAGGCCUUCGGGUUGUAAAGUACUUUCAGCGGGGAGGAAGGCGAUGCGGUUAAUAACCGCGUCGAUUGACGUUACCCGCAGAAGAAGCACCGGCUAACUCCGUGCCAGCAGCCGCGGUAAUACGGAGGGUGCAAGCGUUAAUCGGAAUUACUGGGCGUAAAGCGCACGCAGGCGGUCUGUUAAGUCAGAUGUGAAAUCCCCGGGCUUAACCUGGGAACUGCAUUUGAAACUGGCAAGCUUGAGUCUUGUAGAGGGGGGUAGAAUUCCAGGU